AUGCCUCUAAGUCGUGCUUCGACACGUGGGAGAUAUAGCUGCAUCAAGGGCGUUACAAUUGGAUUACAAAGGCUAAAGAUGGUACCAUCUGGCUCUCGCACUAGAGUUUUUCUGGAUGUUGGCUUUGGAGUAACAAGUUUUGGGCCAUACUUAAUUUCACGUGAAUUUGAGCAUGGUGUUCCUGUAAUGGUGGCAACUAAUUUAACACCGGCUAUUAUCCAAUGUUCCUGCUGUAGAAUAAAUUCGACAUGUGAUGGUGAGCUGAGGUAUAGUCAUGCUUCGUCUAAUACACCUGAAUCCUUUUCUUGA
This 309-nucleotide ribosomal RNA is filed under the name Triticum aestivum (bread wheat). RNAcentral describes it as "partial small subunit ribosomal RNA". The record is from RNAcentral. Lineage: Eukaryota; Viridiplantae; Streptophyta; Magnoliopsida; Poales; Poaceae.